Long non-coding RNA from Harpia harpyja (harpy eagle), 499 nucleotides. RefSeq lists it as uncharacterized. Lineage: Eukaryota; Metazoa; Chordata; Aves; Accipitriformes; Accipitridae. The record is from RefSeq and is a predicted model, not a curated record. The transcript has 3 exons.
GCCCCCGCUCCGUUCCCCCUCAGCCACGGCCUCACUCCACCCCGUUCCAGCCACCGGCGCGCCCUUACCUGCGCGGUGCCGCCGACAUGGCGUGCAGAAAUCGCUGCCUUGACCCACUGCUGUGACAUUUGAUGAUGUGUUAGUUUGUGUGGCGCUCUCCUUCGUGUUCUCAGAGAUACCCAUGCCAGAGGUUUCCCUCCAGAAAUAAAACUCCUCAUCCCUGUGCAGGCAACAGAUGCCGAAUUUCCCUUCAGCCGCUUUUAGGUUUUGCCUGCAGCUUCUGUACAGCUGUUUUGCUUAGUGCCAGCAACACUUGGCCAUCCAAAGGCUGGAUCCUGCCCAGACCCGGGAAGGCAUUUACUCGAGGCGGGGACUCGGCAUUGCCGCGCCACCUUCACCGCUUUGCCUUGCAGUUGCAAAGCACAAUCCUUCGGUCUUGCCUUCUCCACUGCAAAUAAAAGAUUGCCCCAGCACGUGGUGUGCGAGGUCUGGGAAACGA